RNAcentral lists this long non-coding RNA (3736 nucleotides) under Citrus maxima (pomelo). Its description in RNAcentral is "long non-coding RNA (CMAX_LNC004045)". The record is from RNAcentral. Lineage: Eukaryota; Viridiplantae; Streptophyta; Magnoliopsida; Sapindales; Rutaceae.
UUCUCAUUUAUAGAACCCUAGAUGCAAAUUCCUCUAGCUCAAAAUAUAGCUGCUCGCACACAAAAUAGAAAACAACAUCACAACUCGCAAGCCUUUCUGAACGGCAACCUAAGCACAUAGGUACUUAUUUCUUUUGAAUUUACUAGUCGAUUAUUGUUUUGAGACAAAUUGAUCAAUUUUGGUUGUUAACAGGUCAAGCCCAAUCGAUUUGGAUACAAUUAUUCAAUGUUCUAUAAUAUUUUUUUAUGAAACAAAUUGGUCAAUUUUUGGUUGUUAAGGUGUCAAGCUCAAUCAAAUUAGCACAAAUAUGAUAAUUAUUAUUAUUAUCUUUAUUUGUUAAUUUUAAUAACAUAAUGACAAUUUUCAUGUCUUAAAACUUUUCCUUACAUCUUAAAACUUUUCCUUACAGAUGCAAGCAAAUUCAUUUAGUAAUGCUAGAGGAGGUAAUAUCUCUGCACCUCCAAGAACUCAAAGUGUUACUAAUACACAAAUGAGCUAGAGAAGAGGAGGGAGAGUUUCAAAAGUAUGGGAACAUUACGCAAAAAUUGAGAAUGAUACAAAAUGUAAGUCUGACUACUGAUAUAAAGUGUAUGUGUAUCAUUCUAGACUUAUUGGGAUUCGUACUUCAUCAAAUCACUUGUUAAUAUGUACAGUCUAUGUUGAUAUGAAAUUUGAUUCAAAACAAAAUCCCUUUGUUUUUUAGGAUAACAUGACCAAUGGUAGCGGUAGUCUUUUGGCAAUGUCUUGUAGCAAAAAAGAACUUAGAAAAGCAUGCAUUGAAAUGAUCAUUGAUGAAUUGACUUUUAGUUUUAUUGAGAAAGAAGGGUUUUAGAAACCUAUAAGUAAAGCAUGUCCAAAACUUGAUCAUUUUUCUAGGAGAAUUGUUGCUAGAGAUAUGUAUCCAUUGCACUUUGGGUAUAUAGAAUAUGGUAGCAUACCAACUGUUUGAUUAUUUGUGUGAAAGAAAUAUAUUCAGUUUGCUUUCUUUGAUACUGAAAUCAUUUGCUAGCACACACACAUAAUUUAAAUGCUAAGUUUAAUUUUAUUAUCAUUUUUUUAAUAUAAGGAUUUGGUUUUAUUAUCAUUUUUUUAAUAUAACGAUUUGUCUUUUACUUAUAAGGGCACAUGAGUUCAAGAGGAAGAAGUUGAAGAACUUUUUUUAAAGUUAAAAUUUCUUUUCUUUUAUCAAAUUUUCAAUCAAUUUGUUUUAGUUGUACAUUUUUCAUUUUGUCGAAAUAUAACUUCUUCAUUGUUUAAGUGUUGUGUAUGCAUUGGCUUCAAAUUUUAUGGAUUGCCACUUGAUAAUUUGACAGUACAAAUUCUUGUAUUCAUAAUUGUAUUUCAUGAAUGGAAGAGAUAUUGUUUAUGAUAUAUGUAAAGUUGGAAUUGUUUGAUUUUUUAAUUUUAUUGAUUGUCAUUUGACUGAAAUUGUUCACCAGAAUAUUCAUUUGCAUAACAUUUGUUAAAGCUAGCUAUCAACUCAUAAUUUAUUGGCAAAUGCAAUAGCUCGUCUUUGGUUAAAAUAGAAAAGUGGUAAAAGCUAUUAAAUCUAUCUAUGAUGGCAAACAUUUUCAGCUUUAUAAUUUUUUCAAUGGCAUAGAUAACAGAAUCAUAUUAAUGUCGUAAAAAGUAUGUGAUUUUUAACAGCUUGUGGAUCAAAAGCAUGUCAAUUUAUGCCAUUACAUUCCUUUAACGACAUAUAUUCUUAACUGUUAAAAGCCUAUUUUGUUGUUUAAAUGACAACCAAUCAGCCUAAUAAAUGGCCUACACCCUUCCUUGAAGCCAUAUCUAAGACAUAUAAAGCUCACCAUGAACCUUUGGAAUUUGCAUUUAUCUGCCAGUUUUUUUUGUUACUUUAAGCAAUGUUAAAGCCUUUAGCAUCUGUUUUUUUAAUGAUGUGAGCAAAAUUUCAAAGUUGUCUAAAGAUUUUAACAUGAUCUCCCGCAGUAACGGACUCAAAUAUCUUUUUUUUUUUGCUCUGUAAACUUCCUAGAGAUCUACCUCUACUUCAUACAUUGUCUUAAGAUCAUCAAUGAGACUACCUACAGCAGUCUUUGGAUCAUCUGUCACUUUAUUCUUCCUUACAAUCUAACCAACAGUAAGCUUUGGAUUUUUGACAAGAUCCUCACAAGUAUUUAUGAUGUGUAAGGUUGUGAUCUAAAAACAUUGUCCAAAUCUCCAAAGUAGUACAUGUUCUUUGAAGAGGCGCCUGUCUAUAUAAUAUAUACAUACAACUCUUCUUCUUUUAAACUUAGUUCUUCUUCCUUUGAAAUUUUGUUGUAUACAGAAAUCCUUCAGAGCCCACGCAAAAGAUUGAAAAUUUUUUAACACUUGUCCAACUUUGAAUUCAAUAGGUUCUAUUCCAUCUACAAGCAUUUGACGACCCAACAAAUGGACAUUUUAAUAAAAGGAUGCUCUUUUCUAAUUUUGACGUUAGCCCAUAAUCUCCAUUGUCACUUCCAUAUCCAUCUAAUAAGUCAUCAUUUGCAUCAUGCUCAUCCCAAUGAUAUUAAGUUUCUUGUUCUCCAGAUUCUCCAUCAUCAAUAUCAUCUUCUGAUUUAGAAAAUGCAUAUAAAUCAUCCUUCGCUUUUGAUAACUCAUCAUCAUGACAAACAAUUUGUGAUGAUGAACUUGCACCAUCAUCUAUAUUCAUGCUUGACUUCCUCUUCUUCGUUGUCUUGGGCCUCCUCAUUACAUGCUCUAAAUCUAUAGCAUUUCUCUUUCUUGUUUUAUUUGCUUUCUUAUUUUAAACCAUCUUUAAAAUAAUUGCAUAUUGCUUUUUACUUGCUUGUCUCUCAGAAGCCCUUAUUUGACAAAUGUAGACUUCUUUUUUGUUAGCUUCUUUUUGUGAACCUUUGAUUGUAUUCCUUAAAGAUAAUGGCUGCUUUGCCUUUCUUAUAAAAGAUUCUAGUUGGUCAACUUGUGAUGAAAAGUCUUGUGUAGGCUGCAUGACUUUUUUUAUUGGAGAUUCUUUAGAGAUAGCAUCCUUUGAAAAUGGUUGCGAGGGACAAUCAUUGAAAAAUUGGGAUAAUGAUGGAUUAACUACCUCUUUAUCAAUGUCAAUGUCAUCUCAAUCAUUCACUAUAUGAAACUUAGAGAAGUCACCAGUAAUUGACACUAAAAAGUAUACAUUUAAUAAGGUUAAAAUUAUCAAUUUUUCAUUUACAGUAUUGAUUAAUGCACUCAUAACUUAUAAAUUAUCUUAAUGCUCUCCAAAUAAAUUUUUAUGUUAAAUUAAUUUGUAGCAUGUUAAUUUUAUAUUAAUUUUUAUAUUGGAAAUAUGUCAGGAAUAUAUAGGGAAUUGGAACCAAAAGCGGGAAACAAAGAAGAUAAAUUAUCGGGGCCAUUUGGAAUGCAUUAUUGAGGAAAUGUAAUAAAUAAAUAAAUAGGGAAGCGAGCCAUGUAUUAUUGUGAUAGUCAAGUGCCACUUUGCCACUUGCCUGUCACUCGUUUCUAUGUAAAUAGAUAAGUAAUAAUAAUAAUAAUAAUAAAAUAAAAGAAGGUGGAGAUGUUUGUUGGCUAAAAAAGACGAGAAGAAGAAAAAUGAGGGACACAGAGAGAAGAUGAGAAAGGAGUUGAAGAUUGAGGCUUAAAAUGAUUUCUUCUUUUAUGUAGUUAGUUUUCUUAUAAUAUAUUUGAGAAGUUUGUUAAAUAAAAUAAGUGUUUCGUAUAUAUCAUAUGAGUUGUUAAUUUUCUAAGCUAAGGUGAAAGGUGAAGCUCAAUGAUUCAAAUUAUU